GACGAACGCUGGCGGCGUGCUUAACACAUGCAAGUCGAACGGAAAGGCCCUGCUUUUGUGGGGUGCUCGAGUGGCGAACGGGUGAGUAACACGUGAGUAACCUGCCCUUGACUUUGGGAUAACUUCAGGAAACUGGGGCUAAUACCGGAUAGGAGCUCCUGCUGCAUGGUGGGGGUUAGAAAGUUUCGGCGGUUGGGGAUGGACUCGCGGCUUAUCAGCUUGUUGGUGGGGUAGUGGCUUACCAAGGCUUUGACGGGUAGCCGGCCUGAGAGGGUGACCGGCCACAUUGGGACUGAGAUACGGCCCAGACUCCUACGGGAGGCAGCAGUGGGGAAUAUUGCACAAUGGGCGGAAGCCUGAUGCAGCAACGCCGCGUGCGGGAUGACGGCCUUCGGGUUGUAAACCGCUUUCGCCUGUGACGAAGCGUGAGUGACGGUAAUGGGUAAAGAAGCACCGGCUAACUACGU
RNAcentral lists this ribosomal RNA (467 nucleotides) under uncultured bacterium. RNAcentral describes it as "partial 16S ribosomal RNA". It matches the Rfam family "Bacterial small subunit ribosomal RNA", at positions 28 to 506 of the family's 1533-position model. The record is from RNAcentral.